Molecule: ribosomal RNA, 479 nt
Filed under: uncultured Lachnospiraceae bacterium
Lineage: Bacteria; Bacillati; Bacillota; Clostridia; Lachnospirales; Lachnospiraceae
Description: bacterial SSU rRNA
Rfam family: Bacterial small subunit ribosomal RNA
Source: RNAcentral
AAACUUAAAGGAAUUGACGGGGGCCCGCACAAGCGGUGGAGCAUGUGGUUUAAUUCGAAGCAACGCGAAGAACCUUACCAGGUCUUGACAUCCCGAUGCUAUUUCUAGAGAUAGAAAGUUACUUCGGUACAUCGGUGACAGGUGGUGCAUGGUUGUCGUCAGCUCGUGUCGUGAGAUGUUGGGUUAAGUCCCGCAACGAGCGCAACCCUUGCCAUUAGUUGCUACGAAAGGGCACUCUAAUGGGACUGCCGGUGACAAACCGGAGGAAGGUGGGGAUGACGUCAAGUCCUCAUGGCCCUUAUAGGUGGGGCUACACACGUCAUACAAUGGCCGGUACAGAGGGUAGCCAACCCGCGAGGGGGAGCCAAUCCCACAAAGCCGGUCGUAGUCCGGAUCGCAGUCUGCAACUCGACUGCGUGAAGUCGGAAUCGCUAGUAAUCGCGGAUCAGCAUGUCGCGGUGAAUACGUUCCCGGGUCUU